Molecule: ribosomal RNA, 165 nt
Filed under: uncultured bacterium
Lineage: Bacteria
Description: partial 16S rRNA
Rfam family: Bacterial small subunit ribosomal RNA
Source: RNAcentral
UAGGGAAUCUUCCACAAUGGACGGAAAGUCUGAUGGAGCAACGCCGCGUGAGUGAAGAAGGUUUUCGGAUCGUAAAGCUCUGUUGUUGGUGAAGAAGGAUAGAGGCAGUAACUGGUCUUUAUUUGACGGUAAUCAACCAGAAAGUCACGGCUAACUACGUGCCGG